Molecule: unclassified non-coding RNA, 569 nt
Filed under: Hevea brasiliensis (rubber tree)
Lineage: Eukaryota; Viridiplantae; Streptophyta; Magnoliopsida; Malpighiales; Euphorbiaceae
Source: RNAcentral
AGAAAACGCCCUCUGGACUUUAACCAUCUUGAAUCUUUUGAAUAGGGCUGCAAGCUGGGACAUUUUGCCGAUGUGUGGCCUGCUUUCGUUUUGCAAAUAUUGCAGUUUGCACGACAAGCUACUCUUUCGGACUUUUUGAGAAGGGACCACAAUCCCUUUGUCCAGCUGCCUGUCGACUCUUUCUCAGGACCUAUGUUUUUCUUUUCUGAUUCAACUUCCAAGUAUGCAACCUCUGCUUCAUAAGAUCUGUGACGAAGAAACACCUUUGUUCCUGCAUAAUCAUAACGCUUAGGGCCCAUCCACCUGUACUUUUCGCUCUCAGUGAUUACAUCUCCAUAAAACCCAUACCUGAUAAGUAAGCGAAUGAUUACGAAGGAGGAGUAGAAUUUAACCUUAAGUUCACAAAGAAGCAUGCAUUGCACCCAAGGGUGUGACCUAGUGGUCAAUGCAGUGGGUGAGAACCAUGAAGUUUCACGUGGAAAUCUCAGCAGAGACAAAAAAUACUAGGUGUCCCAUCCGUCCUAAACUUGGCGGACAGAAAACUUGGUACCUGUUGCUGGUGGUAGGUA